This is a long non-coding RNA of Oncorhynchus mykiss (rainbow trout), 3875 nucleotides long. NCBI's taxonomy places the organism in Eukaryota, Metazoa, Chordata, Actinopteri, Salmoniformes, Salmonidae. The record is from Ensembl.
AUGAUAAACUAUCCAGGAGUCGUAUCUGGUUACAGUAGGAAGGGCUGCAGUAAAGGUCCACCAGUAGAGCUACCAGUGUUUACUCUGGUUAGUGAGGAGAGGAGCAUGGCUGAAGCCCAGAAGUUCUGCAGGGAGUACUAUGAGGAACUGGCCACCAUCUUCAAUGCUGAGGACCAGAUAGUAGCUCUGAGAGCAGUGUCAGCACAGAGCCUCACUGACGCAGUCUGGGUCCACUCCCAAUACCGUGCCUUUUGGCCCCAACUGGCCUAUUGGAAUACACCAAAUGCAAAGUGUGUUGUUCAUGGACAUACAGCAAAAGUUUGGAUUUUGAGAUAUUGCACAAUUUCAUGUCACUUUGUGUGCCAGAAAAGUAAGUGGAUUUUGCAUCCCUUCUCUCCCUUGUCUGAUAUUUGUAAACUACUACUCCAAAGUAACAUUAACACUUUAAUUGAAGGGGGUUAGUCAUUCUUAACACCUUGUACAGUACAUAAUACAUUUCAUAUCACCUUUAUGAGUUACAGUAUCCUUUGACAACCGUCUAGGUACAUUUAUUUAACAUCAAUGUCCAUGUCUUUCAGGGCACUUUAAGGACAAUUGUGUAUUUUCUGUCCUUAGGCACACAAUUAAACUCAGAGCUUAAAUACUACAUGGGUCAAGGUUCAUUGACGUGGGAGGGGGCACAGACGGCUUGCCGAGCCAAUGGAGAUGACUUAGCGAGCAUCCUCACCCAAGAGGAUUACACAGCAUUCCAAAGCAUAACAGAGACACAGCAGUUUGAAAUGUGGAUUGGACUCUACUGGAAGACUUCUACCAGAAUGUGGGAGUGGUCCAAUGGGGACCCCUUUCCAUACUGUGUGUCUGAGCCUCAACUGGGUGCUAGUAACUGCUGCUCCCUGACCCUUAAGGACCAUUGGCAGACUGAAAAUGUCACCCUGGAGAAGAUAGACUGCUCUCUGAAGAGACCGUUCCUUUGCACUGGAAGUAAGACUGACUGAUCUUUUACAGAUAGAGAGAGGAAAAGAUAGACAGAGGUUGUGUCAAAGGGCACUAGGCUGGAUUCAAACCUAUUCUGACACCAUAGACAUGUGUGCCAGAGGCUGUGGCAUUUCCGCUAGACCAGCCAGGCUACAAGACUGCCAUCUUAUUGGGGUUACUGGGGAUCAUAAGACAGGGAGGGACAGGGAUGGCAUUUUAGCCCCAAUAGGGUCCCACUGCAGCAAACACUGUCACAUGUCUGACACAGAGAUGCUACAUGUAGCCUACUCCAGCCACCUCUCUCUCCCCACCUUUCAGAUAUAUAUGUGUUCAUGUGGUUUCUAUUAUGAAAUAAUAUUUCCAUACUGGUAAACAUAGAACACAGAGGCUUGCUACUUCACAGAAAAGCUACUUAUAUAUUGUAAAUAAGUUGAACCUCAUUUGAGUGAAUGUUACCAUUCCUAUGUCAAUCUAGAAAGGAGAAUCAAGCAGACCAUUGUAAGGAUGUCUCUGAAAUCUAAUACAGGAGGUGACCUCAAUGACCCAGUGGUAAAGGAACAGAUGUUGGAGCAGGUACAGUAGUCCUACAUGUCCCACAUUAGCAAUCAAUGUCAAGGUCACUCAUUUCACUGUUUUCAGGAUCAGGAAUGGAAACCUGACAUCACAUAGUAUUACAUUUAGGAUGCUGUAUUCAAAUGAGGGCUACUGACAUUAUCUAGUUUGAUCAUACCUUAUAGAUCAGAAAGGAGAUUGCUAAGAACGGGAACUUCAUCCAAGACUUGCGAUGGAGAGAACUGCCUAACGGAGAUGUUUUUCGCAAAAUAGUUGAACUUGGAAGCCCUGAAGAAGGUAAACACUUUUUUUGUGUCAGCUUUGGAGAAAAAAAACUCAUGUUUAGUCUGUUGUUCAGAGUCCCUUGUUCAGUGUGUUGUUAGGUUUUGCAUCCCGUUGACAGUAUGGAAAUCAAGUACUGUAAGGUGUUCAUGAACUAUUUCCAGUGAGAGUCUUUAUACUGUUGUGUUUGUUUUCUAAGGUCACUGUGGUUCUGGAUGAAGAGGACCAGCCAUGAUGAUGCAACAGGAGAGGGAUGGAAGUUUACUGUAAAUAACCCUAUUACCUCAUUAUAGAUGACCGUAUAUCAAUAACAUUAUCUUAGAUCAUGGUCAGUGUUUUUUCUUGAAUGAGAGAUAGCUUUAUGCUUAUGAAUGAAAAAUAUGAUGUCAAGUUAUUAGGCUAGAUUUAAACUCUACAAUGUUUUACUUUUGUAAUGCAAAAUUAUAAUGUACGAUUUUUGUUGGUGUAUGAAUGUAAUGUAAUAAUGUUUGUUGUACAUAAGGGCAAUUUGAUUAGUGAAGAGAAGAGGAAUAAAAAGGACAUUUGUGUUUGUUCAAGUUUGAAGAUAAAACAUGUAUGGUGAUAAGUUUCAGUGAUGGAUUUUCAGAGUGUAAAAUUAUUGAUAAUGAUGUUACUCACUUAUGGAUGUAACUGUCAACAUUCUUAGAUAAAAUAUGUUUGAUUAGUGACAAUGGUAUUAUGACUAUUUUCACCUUGCAGCAGGAAUGAUGAGAUGUAGGCAGUAGUCACAACAAUGUAGAAUGAUGUGUCCACUUCCAGGUGGGAGUAGAGGUCGACCGAUUAAUUGAUUUCAAGUUUUCAUAACAAUCGGAAAUCAGUAUUUUUGGUCACUGAUUUGGCCGUUUAAAAAAACGUUUUAUAUGUUAUUUUUUACACCUUUACUUAAUCUUUAUUUAACUAGGCAAGUCAGUUAAGAACACAUUCUUAUUUUCAAUGACGGCCUAGGAACGGUGGGUUAACUGCCUCGUUCAUGGGCAGAACGACAGAUUUUCGCCUUGUCAGCUCGGGGGAUUCAAUAUUGCAACCUUACAGUUAACUAGUCCAACGCUCUAACCACCUGCCUCUCAUUGCACUCCACGAGGAGACUGCCUGUUAUGCGAAUGCAGUAAGCCAAGGUAAGUUGCUAGCUAGCAUUAAACUUAUCUUAUAAAAAACAAUCAAUCAAUCAAUCAUAACCACUAGCUAACUACACAUGGUUGAUGAUAUUACUAGUUUAUCUAGCGUGUCCUGCGUUGCAUAUAAUCGAUGCGGUGCAUAUCGUUGCUCCAAUGUGAACCUAACCAUGAACAUCAAUGCCUUUCUUAAAAUCAAUACACAGAAGUAUAUAUUUUUAAACCUGCAUAUUAGCUAAAAGAAAUCCAGGUUAGCAGGCAAUAUUAACCAGGGAAAAUUGUGUCACAUCUCUUGUGUUCAUUGCACGCAGAGUCAGUGUAUAUGCAACAGUUUGGGCCGCCUAAUUUGCCAGAAUUGUACGUAUUAUGACAUAACAUUGAAGGUUGUGCAAUGUAACAGGAAUAUUUAGACUAAUGGAUGCCACCCAUUAGAUAAAAUACGUAACGGUUCCGUAUUUCACUGAAAGAAUAAAUGUCUUGUUCUUCGAGAUGAUAGUUUCCGGAUUCGACCAUAUGCUUUGAGGGUGGCUGUUGUCGCUGUGUUCCUGGUUUGAGCCCAGGGAGGAGCGAGGAGAAGGACGGAAGCUAUACUGUUACACUGGCAAUACUAAAGUGCCUAUAAGAACAUCCAAUAGUCAAAGGUUAAUGAAACACAAAUGGUAUAGAGAGAAAUAGUCCUAUAAUUCCUAUAAUAACUACAACCUAAAACUUCUUACCUGGGAAUAUUGAAGACUCAUGUUAAAAGGACCCACCAUCUUUCAUAUGUUCUCAUGUUCUGAGCAAGGAACUUAAACGUUAGCUUUGUUACAUGGCACAUAUUGUACUUUUACUUUCUUCUCCAACACUUUGUUUUUGCAUUAUUUAAAACAAAUUGAACAUGUUUCAUUAUUAAUUUGAGGCUAAAUUGAUUUUAUUCAUGUAUUAGAUUAAGUU